This is a non-coding RNA of Salmo salar (Atlantic salmon), 54 nucleotides long. NCBI's taxonomy places the organism in Eukaryota, Metazoa, Chordata, Actinopteri, Salmoniformes, Salmonidae. The record is from Rfam.
UGCAUUCAAUACUGUAAAUCGCUCUGGAUAAGAGUGUCUGCUAAAUGACUAAAA